RNAcentral lists this ribosomal RNA (546 nucleotides) under Macrophthalmus brevis. Its description in RNAcentral is "partial 16S rRNA". It matches the Rfam family "Archaeal large subunit ribosomal RNA", at positions 1890 to 2694 of the family's 2987-position model. Lineage: Eukaryota; Metazoa; Arthropoda; Malacostraca; Decapoda; Macrophthalmidae. The record is from RNAcentral.
GUCUUUUUGUAAAUAAAAAAAGUCAAGCCUGCCCACUGAUAAUUUUUUAAGGGCCGCGGUAUUUUGACCGUGCGAAGGUAGCGUAAUCAUUAGUUUUUUAAUUGGAAUCUUGUAUGAAUGGUUAGACAAAAGAAAAUCUGUCUCUUUAUUAGAAAUUUAAUUUAACUUUUAAGUGAAAAGGCUUAAAUUAAUUAAAGGGACGAUAAGACCCUAUAAAGCUUAAUAUAAAUGCCUGUUUAAUUAAAUUAAAUAAUAAAAAUUUUAUAGUAUAAGUUAUUUUAUUGGGGCGAUAAAGGUAAAAUGUUUUGUAACUGCUUAAUUAAUAAAACAUGUUAGUUGAGAUAAAAUUUUUAAGGAUCCCUGUUAUGGAUUAUAAGUUUAAGUUACUUUAGGGAUAACAGCGUUAUUUUUUUUGAGAGUACACAUCGAAAAAAGAGUUUGCGACCUCGAUGUUGAAUUAAAAUUUCUUUAUAGAAGUAGAAACUAUAAAAGUUGGUCUGUUCGACCUUUAAAAUUUUACAUGAUUUGAGUUCAAACCGGCGUGAG